AUGCCACACAUUCUGCUUCCCAGACCCCUGCCUGGGAAGAGUGGGACUCCACAGGUCUGGGGGAAGCCUGGGAGUGGCACCUAUGAGCAGCUGCCUCAGAGAUUCUUAAUCAUUUUACAGAUACCUCCAGAGCACUUAACCAUGUGCUCUGCCGGUCUCUGGGGACACAGAGAUGCAUGGCUCUUGGGACAGUCGCAUUGGGAAGAUCCCGUCUGCUCAGAGCUCAGCUGCUGGCUGCUUCCUCCAUCAAACCCUCACCCAAGGCCUGUCUCAGGCAGAAUUGGCUUCUCUCUCUGGGGACAGACAGAACGUCUGGACACACUUUCAAGUGAUUUUCAUUUGGAGUUGGUGUGCUCUGGAAGCACCUGUCACCCCAGCCUUGACACCGGGCCAAUUAUCUUAGACACCUGGAUGAGACAACAGCCUGGAUCAUCCCCCUCAGGCCACAACACCAGCACAAGGUCCAGACCACCGCCAGGCAGACCUCAGUGCCUGAGAUGCCGGGAUGGCAUCUUGCUUUGCCUAAGUGGGUUCUGACACGUCGCUGUUUCUUCUCAUUAAAAAGAAAAACAAAAACACAAAUCUAAGUAAUGUGUGCCCAGCACCCACCACAGAUGUUUGUGUCUUCAGCGUGUGCAUGUCAGGUAAACCCAUCCACGGGAGCCCAGAGUCAGCCCAUACUGAGAGGUCAAACCAGGGACAGGGUGCUCUUAGGGUCAUGGACAUAACGGACGUCAAACAGGUUUGAGACAUCGCCACAGCCUUUAUUUCUUGCUUCCGGCAAAGCGGUUUUCUGAUGAAGCAGGACAAAAGCCACUAUUCCCUGUGGCGGCCUAGGGCCCUGGAGUUGGACACAAGCAUGGCAGAUAGCUAAGCUCAAACUUAAGCUCUAUUUGCCUGCUUCCUCCCAACCCCGCCCCCUUCCCACAACCCCGCCCCCUCCAUAACCCCGCCCCUUUCCUCCAACCCUGCUCCACUCACAACAGCCAGAGCGAGCAUUAAUCAAGGCCAUAACCCCAGUGCUCGCUUAGGCAGCACAUAUGCUAAAUACAGAGAAAAUUAACGUUGCCCCCGUGCAAGGAUGACACACAAGUUUGUGAAGGGGUCCGUGUUUUUACUUAUAUGUGAAAUCUAAAAUACAGCACAGAACCAUGAGGUUGCGGGUUGGAUCCCUGGCCUCGUUCCGGCGUUGCGGUGAGCUAUGGGGUAGGUCACAGAUGUGGCUCAGAUCCGGCACUGAUGUGGCUGUGGCGUAGGCUGGCAGCUGUAGCUCCCGUUGGACCCCUAUCCUGGAACGUCCAUAUGCUGUGGGUGAGGCCCUAAAAAGCAAAAAAUAAAUAAAAAUAAAAUAAAAUAUGGCA
Molecule: long non-coding RNA, 1361 nt
Filed under: Sus scrofa (pig)
Lineage: Eukaryota; Metazoa; Chordata; Mammalia; Artiodactyla; Suidae
Source: RNAcentral